This is a long non-coding RNA of Bos taurus (domestic cattle), 3673 nucleotides long. The record is from Ensembl. Lineage: Eukaryota; Metazoa; Chordata; Mammalia; Artiodactyla; Bovidae.
GUGUUACCCAUAGGGAAAUGCUUGGAAAGUCAAUUGUGCUCAGUUAUCUUAUUUUCAUAAAGAAAUGUAGAACAGGCUCCAAAAUUGUUUUUCAUGUAAAAAAUUUUACAUGUGAAAAUGUUAAAAAAAAAUUUUUUUUUUUUCACCUGUAAAGCUGACAGAAUAAGUCCAUGUGUGGAGCACACUUUAAAGCGACUUCACCUGAAAUUCCAUCUCGGUGUGAGUCACGCCAUCUCACUUCUUGGACUAAACGCACUGCACAGAACAAUCGCGCGCUCUCAAAGCAAACUGAGGUUCCGACCUGCAGGGAGAAAAUCAGACACCCAGUCCUCUCUAGACAUCUCUGUGCCGGAAGGGGGCCAACCCCCACACCUCACAGGUCAGGACCUAAAAACUCACUGAGACACCAGGCCUGACUCUUAAUUCUGUGUCUCCCUCCCUGGAACACCUGCAUCCCCGUCGCCAGGUUUCCUUGGUGACCAGAGCUCUAAGGAUACCCGGUUCUGGCGCACUGAAGACAGAGGCCUGGGGUCAGGGUCAUUCCUACCCGCCGAGGUCAGGACUCAAGCAUCUUGCGCCUCCCGCUUCUCCCUGGACCUCAGGACACAGGACAGCAGAGAACCUGGGCCAGCGCUCCCGGGGCACCAGAACUCGUUGGCCACAGGCCGGGACAGGGAGGUGGGGGGCCUUUGCUCAUUCCAGUGACCCACUCCUCCUGGGAGCACUUGAAAGAGAAAUACAUUCCACCAUCCAGGGGCAAAGCCGCCCCCUCCCAGCUGGGGCCUGUUCCCUCCGCCUCCUCCUGGCUCCAGGGCCCGGGGUCCAACACCCGAGGAGGCCUCGGUCAACCGCAUCCAUGCACGAGGCUCUGGCCACCCUCUCAGCUCGCUGCCUACCUCCAGGCUGUCCGAUUCUUGGGCUCGGUGGCUGGGGGCGGGGGAUACAGGGCCUCCCUGCGGGGAGCGGCGUCCCGCCUCCAUCACCGCCUGGACUCCCCCAACCACACCCCGACCCCUGCGUGCAGACACGCUGGAAACCUCUCGCCUCCCGUCCCAUCCCUCGAAGACAUCAUACAAUGGCAGCGUUCCUGACAGCUUCCGGGCGCAGUCAGGUCCAUAAACUGGAAAAGGUGACCCUUCCGACAUUCAUCCGUCACAGUAAUCACGCUGCCAUCUUCACCCAAACCUCUGAUCACCUCAUUUCACUGCUCAGAAACCAUCAGUCCCCUAACCCCACCCCCCACAGCCUGCGGGAUCCAGCUGGGCCUCCUCGGUGGGGAUGGGGCCCCACCCACACCUGUCCACCUGGAAACAGUCAGCUCUCUCCAGGUGCUCACCAAACGCUGCCUCCUCCGUGAAGCCUCCCAGGACUCUCCACACCCACGAACAGCCACCUCCUGCCUCCCUUGACUCAGGAUACGCUGAGCGCUCCGCGUCUAAGUUUCUGCAGUGUCCUGCCUCCUUUCCAGAAAGCAAGGAGCAGACUUGGGCCCACCGGAGGUCCACAGGCUGCUAUAAAAACCCCUCAGGGCUCCUAGCCCGGUUCCCCCUCUGCAGAAUCACUGAGAGGGAUAAAUACAUGUGUACACAGGGCUAGAAGGAAGGGCGCUCCCAAAAGCUCAAGGACUAUGUAAAGUCAGAUUCAGAUGCUAUCGUGGUCGCCUGGGUCCCUGGGAAGGCAACAAUUCCCUAUUUGUCUCUCCGAUCGCUUAUCCUGGUUAGUCACUGGCACCUGGGAGGUGCUUCCUGAAUGUUCCUCCAACGUUUGAUGAAUGGUUGGUAAAGGCCAGUACUCCACUAGGAUCAUGGGCUGGCUCACAGGAGCUCUUCCCUCUAAACUGCGGUUUCCUUGGUAAAGUUAGAGAGAUACCAUAGAAGAUGGAGUGCCAUCCACACACUCAGAGGCAGCCUUCUCCUCUGCCUUGACGGUGAAAGUCGCUCAGUCGUGUCCGACCUGGGUCUCCUGCAUUGCAGGUGGAUUCUUUACCAGCUGAUCCACCAAGGAAGCCCCUCCUCUCCCUUAAGCUGCAGCAUUUGAGAGCUGACAUGGGCUUCCCUGGUAGCUCAGAUGGUAAAGCGUCUGCCUGCAAUACAGGAGACCUGGGUUUGAUCCCUGAGUCGGGAAGGAUCCCCUGGAGAAGGCAAUGGCAACCUACUCCAGGACUCUUGCCUGGAAAAUUCCAUGGAUGGAGGAGCCUGGUAGGUUAUAGUCCAUAGGAUCGCAAAGAGUCGGACAUGACUGAGCAACUUCACAUGGAGAAGGAAAUGGCAACCCACUCCAGUAUUCUUGCCUGGAGAAUCCCAUGUACAGAGGAGCCUGGCGGGCCACAGUCCCUGAGGUCGCAAGGAGUCGGACACGAUUUAGUGACUAAACCACCACCACCACUGUGGGGGUUCCAGAAGAAGCUGUGGAAGGAAGGAUCCCGAGGAUAAGGGCCUUCCUCCCUUUCCAUCACAAAGGGCACUUCCUUAUCAGAGGGGUGGGUGCGGGUGCUCCUGGACCCCCAGACAGCACCCAAGGUCAGAGGAGAGAGCUGCCCUCCUGGGACGGGGUACCAGAGGGCACAUCGGUCAGGGGCAGGGAACACAAUGGACCCAAGUGAAGGAGAAUGAGGAACGGACACCAACACACGCUCAGAGAGGAAAGUGGGACUGUCCUCAGGAGCUGGGAGUGGAUGGAACAGACCAGAAGGAGGGACAGCUCUCCUCGGCUGGCCAUCCUCCUGCUCAAACUGGACCAGUGACUUUUCUAGGCCCACUGUCCGGCCAGACGCUGGUCCGUUGUAUUAGUUCUUCACCAAACCAACAUCUUCCUUUGAUGGGCCGAAACACCUCCCUUCAGACCCCAGGCUUCAACCUUAACUUAAAUGUGUCUAAGAAGGAAGAAGAUAGGAAACCCUAGGGGCUUGUGCUGUUUCCAUUAAUCACUCAAGGAGUUCUUCCCUUUAUCUGGCGGCCUAUGGAUCUAUCCAGUGAUGGGACUAAAAAGACAUAUUUUUCAAGAGCCGGCCCCUCCGCCUCUCCCUCUGUAUUAUGAUUGAAUACUGACAACAGGCAACUCUGUUCCAAGUUCACUCAAGGACACGAGAGCUGCUCCUGAGAACCAGUCAGUUAGGAAGCAAAGGACUUGCCUUGCGUCCUGGGCUCCUCAGAAAAGCUCCAGGCAGGCUGAUCACCUUGGUGACAGGUUCUACAGACAGGUGAGAUGGAGGGAGACCUCCACCCUGCACAGCCAGCUCUGGGAGACAGCGCCGCUCCCCUCUGACUGAGCGGGACCCUGGGGGGCCUUCCCGGGACAGGCCGCCCCCAUCCCCUCUGCCGGAAUGCCUCUCUGAAGGACUGGCCUAACACUUGAUGCACAUCGCCUAAGUUGUUCCACAGCUGUGAAAACCCCACCAAAUGAAGACGUUAACUACUUGAGGACCAGGAGCACCCGGCUCCCAGGUCUGUGGAGCCCAGGGACUGAUCCUGUUAACGCUUGUGACACCACCCUGUGUGACCUCCCCAUCAGCCAGUCAGAGGCUUGUGCACAAGCUGAUCCCAGGCUCUAAGACCCUCCUUCCUCACCCAGCUUUUAUUUAUUUUUAAAAAUUAUUUAGUUGGCUGCAUCAGGCCUUAGUUGCAGCGUGCAAGACCUUCUGUAGCUGCAGCCUGCAGAAAUGCAGCCUGCGAAC